RNAcentral lists this ribosomal RNA (254 nucleotides) under uncultured bacterium. RNAcentral's name for it is "partial 16S ribosomal RNA". It matches the Rfam family "Bacterial small subunit ribosomal RNA", at positions 524 to 776 of the family's 1533-position model. The record is from RNAcentral.
GACGUAGGGUCCAAGCGUUGUCCGGAUUUACUGGGCGUAAAGCGCGUGUAGGCGGUCUGUUAAGUGCACAAGUGAAAGCUCCGGGCUCAACUCGGAAAUUGCUUUGCAUACUGGCAGGCUGGAGGGACGCAGAGGUCUGUGGAAUUCCUGGUGUAACGGUGAAAUGUGUUGAUAUCAGGAGGAACACCCAUGGCGAAGGCAGCAGACUGGGCGUUUCCUGACGCUGAGACGCGAAAGCGUGGGUAGCAAACAGG